UUCGGCGAGAGUUAUUACGACGCAAUUAACCGAAUUUAUUUCAAUCUUACCUAUCGAUUGAAGGAAAAAAAUGGUUCUUUCCAGUUAUAAAGACUAAAUUUUUUAAAGAAUUCGCUUAAAGUUUGUUUCUUGGCAAACAUAACGCAAAUAUCAUUUUCCCAAAAAUAGAGACUAUAUCUCGAUGCUGGUAGUAAUCCGGGGCCAAUUCUUCAUCCGAGUAUAACUAUGAAAAAUUAGGGAAGGGAAGAGGUGCCUGUCACAAAUAAUGGGGAAUAAUAAAUGGUGGGAAUCUAUAGACUGCCGAUCGUAAUGCUAAAAUCAAAUUUGAAGUGGCAAAAAUUGAAGUGACUGGUGGCCAUUUUGUGUUUGUAUCUUUUACGAAAGAAGCAUAUGAUAAUUUCAUAAAUUUCAGAUUUCCUAUGAAAGAUAAAAUAUUAUUAUAAAAGUGGACCCAUGCUGUGAAGAGAGAGAACUUCAAUGUAACAAAAUAUAGUAAAUUAUGUUCAAAGCAUUUUACACCAGAUUCAUUUAUUCCAUCUGUUACAAAUCAUGUUCAAUUAAGAGAGGGAGCAAUACCAUCAAUUUUUAAUUUUCCAAAGCAUCUUCUAAAAGUAACAAAAUAAUGAAUAAUAAGUUAUAACAUGCAGGUUUCCUAGAAGCCAGAUUAAUUCAAAAAUACAUGAAUAUUUUUUUUUUAGAAAUCAAUUCUAGAUUUCUUUUGUAUUUUUAUAAUUUAUGUCUUUUAUGUUUUAUUUUUGCUUAUAAUUAUGUUAUUCCUUAAUAAAUAUAAACUAUCCAUUUCUAAAUAUAUUUCUUUAUUUAAAUUUA
Long non-coding RNA from Gordionus sp. m RMFG-2023, 828 nucleotides. RefSeq lists it as uncharacterized. The transcript is spliced from 4 exons. The record is from RefSeq and is a predicted model, not a curated record. Lineage: Eukaryota; Metazoa; Nematomorpha; Gordioida; Chordodea; Parachordodidae.